CUCGCUUAGCAUGGAAGAUACUAUGGGGACCCCGACUUAUGAGUCAAGAUCGCCGAAUGAACGUGCUCAGUGAUCCCAGAGAUCAAUGCUCACCGAACACACAUAUGCUGAAUAUUAAGAGUCUUACAUCCAAGUACCGAAUUAUUACAACACAUGACCGAAUGGUCAAGUUCACAAGGUAGGGCCUAUAAGGCCAAAUCACACUGAUAGAACUAGUAGCAGAAAUCUUAGGGCUAAGCGGGUGCCCAUGCCAUCAGCCUACACCAUGAGGCAUUCUGACUGGGAAGCAUCCUAGUCCGCAGGGCCGUCUCCGAAGACGUACACAUCUCCAAACUCCGGUCCUUCCAUGUCUGUUUAAUAAUAUAACAAGUGGCAAGCCAAUAAGUACUUUGAAUGUACUCGCAAACAACCCAUGAUAUGAACAACACAUUUGGUGGAAUAACAAGUAAUAUGCAGCUUGGGUGGAUUGCAGCUUAAAUGAAAAUAAACAUGGUCAUGGAUAUGAAACAUAAGCUAGAUGGUAUUUAUAAGAACAGGUUACAUAUAUCAAUAUAUUUGUUACGGGCUAAACACGACGGGUUCAGCCGAUAUGCCAAGUCACCAAACUUGGUCAUAUCCACUCUUUCUCAGAUACACCAUUAAACACACACACACUUGGUUUAUGCGGAAACGACUCGACGUAGUUUAAGCAGGAUUACCCAACUGUCCUUGAUUGCGGACACGGCUAUCCAAAUAGUUUGACACUCUCUAGAGGUUGUACGCUGUACCCACGAGAUCGGGGAAAGUUCUGUGGCAUCCACGACUCGUGGUAUAUAACAUACUCGACGUAAGUACCCAAUCAAUGCCUUUCCCGUGACGAUACUAGACACAGAGAUCCACUCGAUUGGUACCGAGCCCACAUGAUGUACGUCUUACGAGCACCGACUCUCUACCGUAUCAUCCAUGAGGGGACCAACGGUGUGCCCGGAGCACGUAAAAACGGCAUAGUCGCUCUACCUGGCAUGACCCGGUCACGAGAGUGAUCAUACAUCACUCCCGCCACUAGUAAUGUGGCUCUUUGCUAGCACCGACCAGAGUAAUCAACAAAGGGGUAACAUGGUCGCACAUGUAAGGUUGGGACGGUCCACACAUCAUAAAUCUACUCCCAUUUCCGAAACCAUACACACACAAAAUACCCGGUGCACCACUUCACCAAAAGUGGCCACCUAACUCAUCAUCACCCUCGGGCAUUAGAGGCAUCCGACGGGGUUUUCAUCAACCUCUCAUUUAUACCAUCACCAUGAUCAUGCUUCUACUGUGAUUAGCUCUACUUGUAAACAUGAUAUUAGCGUGACCCUCAUAGGUGGUAGGAUCAUGCUCAAAAUGCAAGUGCUCCGGAGGAGCCACCGGUAACAUCUCUUCAAUGAUUUACCGAUACUUACGAUGACAUGCAACAGAAAUAUUUCUCUACUAGCAUGCAAUAUAACAUAUGCUCAGACAUGGUCAAAGGGAUGCUUGCCUUGAUCAGCUAAGUAUCCAUGGUUUUCAGGGUCUUCAAGUCCAACUCCUUCGUCAAGCGUGGUUUCUAUCGUCGUAUUAAAUAAAAGGCAAUAAGUAGCUCACUCAAAAACAAAUCACAAAAUCACUUUAAAAAUGUUGUUUAAUUCUGAUAAAUCCAUAUUGUUAUUUUAAAAAUAUUUGUCUCUGGUUUUAGUGAACGAAUUGUUUUUAAAAUCGAUUUAACAAAAGCAAAACUAUUCCAAAUAGCAUUUUUAAUUAUCAUAAAAAGAAAGUUGUCCUUAAAAUUUGUCUAACACUUCUAUUAGAUACUCCUCAUUUUUAGAAGAAUAAUGGUGGAAGAAUCAUUAAUCUCCACUUGUUAACCAAAAGAAAAAGGGCAAUAGCCCUGGCGUGGCUCGGCCUGGGGCUGGGCCGGCCCAGAUGGCCAGCCAUCCAGCCUGCCCAGACACGUGCGCCGUCAGGUUUGAACCUGACGCGCGGGCCCGUGCGGUCAGCGGCUGCGGGGCGUGAGGGAGAGGUGGAUGGGCCAUCGACAGGUGGGGCACACCUGUUGGGGUCGUCUCCCACCUCUGGACAUAGAGGAGGAGGAGCACGCCGGCGUGGCUACCGACGUCCUCACGCCCUAACAAAGGCGGGAAUGGGUCCAGCUCGUCGUCGCUUACCUGCUAGUGGUCGAGUCGACGACGGGGGGUCCUGGAUCACCGGUGACGAGGUGGCCGCGGCGGAGAGGUUUCAGUCAACGGUGGGGAUGGUGGCUACGGGCACGAAAUCGAUCGGGGGAGUAACGGGAAAGUUUCCUGGGAUCACGGGGAGUGCGUAGGAAGGCAGAGGGACGUGAGAACUGACAUGUAGCCGGAGAUCGACCUGAGCUUCGAGGCGGAGGGGCCUCGAUUGAUCUUGAGCAUCGGGUCUCUUAUUGCUCAAUGGGGUGGCUAGGAAGGUGAUUGGGGUCUAGGUGGAGUGGAGUGAGGGGUGCUGGAGCAAGGGGGUGGCCUUAUAUAUGCCUGCGACGGUGCACCGGGCGGGAAGCUCCGGUGGUUUCACCGUGGCGUGCAGAGGGGCUCAGAGAGAGGUUGGGGUCGAAACCACGGUCUUAGUACGUGGUUUUGGACCUUCGAGCUAACUGCGAGAGAGGGGGGAGCGAGGAGUGGCGUGCCUGCAUGGUCGCGAUCCUCUGGCCGAACCUGGUGCGCAGGGAACGCGUCACACCGGCUCUCAGUGCGAGAAAUGAGGGGCACUUGGGGCUGGCUAAUGUAGAGGAGUUGUCGGGGGAGAGGAGAGACACUGCAAGGAGGAUGGAACUGGUCGUGGGAGGUCGCCCCCACCUCGGUUGCUCUGUGUAGCGCACCCAGAGCGCAGCUUUGGCAUGCCACGACAUGUUGGCGCGCUUUGGGGUGCCUUGGACGCGUCUGGCGUGUCCUGGGCCCUUGCUUGGAUAUGUGUAGCCGUUUUAAUCCUGUGGGAGCGUCGUCUAUUCAAAGGAGGAGAGGAAAACAGAUGUUGUCAGCCUUGGGCUGAAGCUUAGAUUGGGGUUUUCUAAUUUUCUACUUACAACCAGAGAAGAGCCACUUGACUGGAGUUGGGCAUUAAUGCUGGCCACCUAAUCUAGGAGUUUGAGAGAAAGGGAAUGGGUGUAGCUGGCGUUAAGUGGGGUUUUGCCAUAAUGUCAGAAGGUGCUCGACAGUGGUUUGGGGUGGUUACACUCCACCACUGGCUAUGCAAUUUUCUGGCUGUCUCUUCGACCAUAAAAAGACGUUGAAGCCUUGGUAUGAUUGGCAUAUACCGAAGAACACUAACUACGAUUUUGGUCUGCCUCUUCUCACCCGUACCGUUGUCUACCACAAGAUACCUACAAGACUCGCAACUGGGAGAAUAGUCCAAGUGUGCAUUCUCCUUCCUAAUUAAGACACAUCCUUUCUCACAUGCAUCUAUCUUCUCAUAGGGCAUCUUAAGUACAUGAAGUAUUUUGUCCCACUGGUACAGGUUUGCUGGCAUGACAUGGACAUUGGGUAGAAAGCGUCCAAAUAGUGUCAUCAUCGCGUCAUAGUAUUCUCUUCCCAAGUUGAACUCAGCCAUCAGAGCCAUUACUUGUGCAAUGGCAUCCAGCUGACAAAGAUUAGUGUGCUCGUGGAGAGGAUGUUUUGAAGACUCGAAAAUUUCAUAGAAGGCCUUUGCAGAUUCCUCCAUCUCAUCUUCCGAAUCCCGAGCAUCAUCAAAGUCUUGCACCAUGUCUUCGAUCCUGGUACCAUGCUCGUCGGUGCGACGACGAACCACCUCAGCUCUGUGCGUUGUAUAGACUCACCAUGAAAUGUCCAAACUGUAUAACUAGGCUUAAAACCCCUCCUCUGCAGGUGUUUAAUCAUUACAACAUAUGUCCUCUUUUUAUAAUUGUCUCCUUCAGUACAAGGGCACCAGUUUGUUUCCUGGCCAUUUGCAAAUGCGGCUUUCACAAACUCCUUGGUUUUUAGAAACCAUUCUUUCGUCAUCUCUUUCUGAGUAGGGUGACUGGUGUACAUCCACGCACGAUCACUCAUCUUGCCUAGUUACGAAACACACAAGAAAUAUAUUUAUAUAUAAAUCAGCAUAUAUAUUCAUCAGUUAAUCAAGUUCGCUAGUUUUAUUAUGUCCAUGCAACCUACACGCUAAUAGGUAAAGAUAGGUCCUAAUCCCACCCGAGUAUGUGUAGAUUGGGUUCGUUUUCCCAUGCUCUGGUCCGGAUCCAACGCAAAAUUUUGGCAGCACCUCCCCACUGUUCUCCUGAUACACGUCUCCGCAAUAAACAGAGAAGAUGUGUAUCCGAAGAACAACAGGGAGGCACUGAUGAAAUUAUGCAUCGCAUCCGGAACAAAGCAUAUGGGAAAACAAACCCAAUCUACACAUACUCGGGCUGUCCAUGGAUAACGUUGGACAAUUCGGAAGAAUCACGGUUAUAAAUAUAUGCAAAUGCAUGCAUAUUUAUAACUGUAACCCAUUCGAACAGGAGACGCAUACUGGUCACGCAUACUGAUAAACUAAUUUACCUAUAUCUAGCAAGUUUCAUCUGAACACCGACACAGAGCAAAUGAAGGGCCGAGGAGGAGAUGACAUUUGUACUAACCCACGAAAGCAAGGGCGGAGCUCGUAGAAGGCACAAGGAGGUCUUCGCCUAGCAGACCUCACAGCGACGAGACAACUGCACAUGUAAAUCCAUCCGAUCACACAAAUAUUUUGUGUUCACCAAUAAAAUCGAAAAAUAUAUGACCUAACACAAAUAUAUGACCUAUAUAUAUGUCAUUUAGGAUUCCAUCAACGUCGAGGAACCCCCUAACUCACUCGUCCCCAGCGCCCUUAGGUAUGGUGACGAACCGUCGAAGGGUCAACACGCCAACUAUUCCGGUUCGGGAGACCUCUCUUCUCUGCCUCUCCUCUCCUCUCCGAUCAUUCUCCUAGUGAGGUCCAUUGUCGGCGACCUUUGGAGGCCGAAGAUCACCUUUUCGGUCAACAAUAGGACGAAGAGGUGUCGAGGAUCAGGGGUUGGGGUCAGUGUCGUUGGGGGCGGCAUAUUCAUAGAUGCACGGAGUUUCGUGCCAGGGUGUCGUGAUGUCUUGUCGGGGUGUCGGGGCAUCGUGUCGGGGUGUUGGGGCCUCGUGUCGUGGUCUCAGGGUGUCAUUUGCUUCUUCAUCUUCUUUUUUUCCUCUUCUUUUUUUCCUCUUCUUUUUUUCCUAUUCUUCCUUUUCUUCUGCUUCUGUCUCUUAUACACAUCUCCGAGCCCACGAGACCCUCAGAGAAUCUCGUAUGCCGUCUUCUGCUUGAAAAAAAAAAAGAAGUAGAGUCCACGUAGGGAGAAGUGGGUGCUUUUGUAGACGUUAGAAUGAGGCGGACGUGGCGUAGUGUGAUAUCAUNNNNNNNNNNNNNNNNNNNNNNNNNNNNNNNNNNNNNNNNNNNNNNNNNNNNNNNNNNNNNNNNNNNNNNNNNNNNNNNNNNNNNNNNNNNNNNNNNNNNNNNNNNNNNNNNNNNNNNNNNNNNNNNNNNNNNNNNNNNNNNNNNNNNNNNNNNNNNNNNNNNNNNNNNNNNNNNNNGAAGGAGGGGGUCGUGGGGAAGAGGAGGGCGCGACGGUUGAGGAGACGACGGUGGUGGCGGAGGGGGCGGUGGUGGAGAAGGGGUGAGCUCUGACUGCGGUGGUGGAGUAGGAGGUACCGGGGAGGAGGAGGGGGCAUGGUGGAGGAGGGGGCAUGGGGAGGAGGAUGGCGCGGUGGUGGCGCACGGAGGAGGAGGGCGCGGCGGCGCAGGAUGGAGGAGGGUGCAGCGGUGAAGGGAGGAGGAGGGCGCGGCGGCGGUGGUGGUUUCGGGUUUGAGAGAAGGAUGGGUGGGGCGCGAUGACCGUUAGGGGAGAGAGGCGCGUUGGCGUGGGGGCGACGGCCGUUAGGGCGCAUCCUUUUUGCCGUCUGCCCCCCGAUGGCACAGAAGAGAAAAGCAGACGGCAAAGAGAGAGGCCUCUAGGGGGGAGAGAGGGGCUGUGAGGUGGGCUUCCCGUGCUCUUUGACGUCGGCCUAAAUGCCCUUUGUCGUCAGCUGGCGGACGACAAAGAGCUGGCUGAUGGCAAAUAGUAUCUUUGCCAUCACCUAGCUCUUUGUCAUCUAGUUUUUGGUAGCUGAUGGCAGAGAGUCUUUGCCAUCAGCCAGCAGACGGCAAAGCAGCAGCAGAUGGCAAAAUCUCGGAUUCCAGUAGUGUAUAUAUAGUGGAGGGUUUUAGGGUUUUUGCAACUCAAGCGUUUGUGCAGCCCUCUCUCCCUCACGACGAAGCCCUGCUGGAGUAGCUCCACCAUCAUCACCGCCACGCCGUCGUUUUGCCGGAGAAUUCAGAUACCUCUUCGUCUCUCUUGCUGGAUCAAGAAGUCGGAGAUCGUCAUCGAGCUGUACGUGUGCUGAACGCAGAGGCGUCGUCCGUUUGGCGCUAGAUAGGGACGAAUCAUGGGAUGGCAGCGAUUUGGAUCGCGAAGACGUUCCACUACAUCAACCACGUUUCUUAACGCUUCCACCUUAGCGAUCUACAAGGGUAUGUGGAUCCGAUCUCCCUCUCGUAGAUGAUCAUCACCAUGAUAGGUCUUCGUGUGCACAGGAAUUUUCUUUGUUUCGCAUGCAACGUUCCCCAACAAUCUGUUAAUCUAGGGUUUCACUGGUUAUAUAUAGGUAAGAGGGAUUAGGCUAGGGACUAACUCGUCCCUACGAUCGCAAUCGUACGGCAGGGAAAUAUAGGCUAGGAAGCUCAAUUUAAAAGGGGAUGAUAAUUUAGGGUAUUACGGGGUUGAUCCGGAACCAACGGUCACGACCGCAUGAUUCGUGUUGCGGUGGAGUUUUCGGACUAGGUUGCGCGUAUGUCGGUACAUUGUGUAGAGAUGCUAGGCGGAGAUGAGAGGGAAAAAUGGGCAAGCCGGCGACAAAGUUUUAAAACAUCAAAACGUGCGACAAUAACUGAUGUCCGUGCCGCUACGGUCGACCGUUCGGGUAUCAAACAAACUCCGAUUGCCGCAAAAUUUGGCACGUGGCCUACCUGCACUAAAAUAAGAUAGCACGCCAAAUUUCAACCCAAUCCGAGAAUAUUUUUCACACACUUUUAAAAACACGAUUUUAAAGAGGUCGCGGGCGCGUGCGUGUGUGGUUGGACUCUAAACGGUCGACGACACGAACAGAGAGAACUGUCAACUACGAACGGAUGCAUGUUUUGAAAACUGCCAGCAACGGAGUAUCGAUGCAAUGCAGAUGAUGCGCAUGAUGCAAUGAUGAAUGCGACAGAUAAUCUAAUCGCACGACAACAAUGGAAUAAGAGGGGAAUCUUAUGGAGAAUCGGCCUCGGGCUGUCACAACUCUCCUACACUAACAAGAGAUCUCGCUCCAAGAUGUAAGAAUCAAAAAAAGGGAAGAGAAUGAGAAAUCAAGAGGUAAACUUAGUCCCUUCUCUGAUGAACGAGUGAAACCAACGAUCCUUUCAGGUUGCGAAGAGAAGAAGAAUGAUAAGAGAAACAAGCGAGAAUUCACACAAAAUUUCGGCAGCACUUCGAUAGGAAAGAGGGGCAAAAUUGAAGAAGACGGGAAGAUCUUGACAAGAUUCACAACAAGCUAACGGAAUUGAACAAAGGAGAGAACAUGAUCUUGAUAUAACAAGAUGAUAGAUUUAAGAGAGCAACAUCACAAAGCCUCCAGAACAAGAAUAGAAACUAAACCAUUGGGAAGAAAGAAUGAAGAAGAAAAUGGAAAUUACAACCACAAUUGAAUUUGGCAAGCAUCCUUGCAAUAAGAAUUGAAUGGAGUUUUUGGAAAACCAACUAUGAAAAGAACAAGCUUGUGGUGCACUUAAGAAAACCAUCCCAAAGUUAUGAGUUGACAAACAGUCACUAACAGAACAAGGGUUGAUUGGGAGCAACAAGAUAUGGACCACUUCUUACAACAAGAGGUUACAUUGAGAGCUUAGAUCAAGAAUAAUCACCGUAAUAACAACAAUCCUUAGACAAGGCUUUAGGUGAAAUCUAACCCAAGACAACUUCAAUGAAGAAUCAAGGUUUGAAAAUAUCUCAUGGUCAUAGAAUCGGUCGAUCUAAAUAUCUCAUUCUUGAAACAAAUUUUCUUCGAGACUCCUUCACUAACAAGAAUGCAAUAACACCACCUCAAAGGAUAAAGGAAAGAAAAAGGUGGAGCAGCUGGGAAAAGAAUUGAUAUCAUGAGCCACUCCGGAAGAAGAAUUGAAAUCACUAAGAAACAAGAAUAAGAAUUAUGUUAUGGUUAUCCUUCAGCAAGUUAAAUUGAUGACAAGCAACGGAUUUAGCAUACCACUUAUUCUUCUUGAAAAGAUUGAGGAGAGAUAUGAGCACAAACUUGAAGAAGUCUUGAAGGAGACACCGGUAAGAAUUGGAAUGAAUGGGGAUAACAAGAAUGAACGGAGAUAUAUGAGAAUGAAGAGACCAUGAUCCACCUGAGUGAAAACUUGAACAAGGCAUCAGAAUAAUUGAGAUACAAAUGAAUAGACAACAAUUGAGAAGAAUUUGAGGAUGAAAGCUGAAAGCUGAGAAUGAAGACCCCCCCCCCCCCUUCUGAAAUGAUGUCCUUCGGGGGAUAAAGAAGUGAAAACAACACUGAAAUACAGAUAGAUAUCAAAGGAAUUACUUGCGAUCGAAAACAAAUGAGAGGAUAUCACGAAGCUGAGAUGACAAUCUUCACAAGAAUGGAGCAAGAUUUAAGAGAAACUCCCCUUAGGACUUCCAAGAUGAGAAUGAUGGCAAGAAACACCAUCAAGAAUUACUAAGACACUCCUGAAUAAUGAAGAAUGAAAGGUUGAGCCAAAGAUGAGAAUAACUUCGAAUGGCUCUUGGAUAAUGAACAUGACUGAUGGAAUUCAUACUUAUGUCAUACUUCAAAAGAUAUGAUAUCUUCAAGAAAGAUUACAGAGUCAAAUAAGAUCCUGGGAAAUCCUGUGGGUUAUGGGCCCACUAAAAGAAAACACCGUUGAAACAAUUGAUUAGAAAAGAGAGAUUGCACUCAUACCAUUGAAAACUUGAUGAAGUAAGUCCUUCGAAAUAAUUGAAAGGAUUGAAAACAAGAAACUUCUGAGAUAUCUUCAACACUCCGGAUAGAAAAGAGAUAGAUGAAAAAUAAAAAAAAUACUUGAUAAAAAUUUCCAACAUGGGAAUAAAUUUAAAGGAUGAAAAGGAUAUGAUGAACAAGAAGAGCUGGAAUUGAAUUCACUGGAAAAGAGAACAAGAAUGAAAAAUGAUGAACUUAGAACUCCUGAGAAUCUUCACAAUGAAUCACCGGGUACAACAUAGAAGAGAAGAUAGCAAAAGCAACACUGAAAAGAAAGGCACUUGGAUGAUAAUUUAUCCUUUGAAGGAAAAGGGUGGGAGGGUGGGAAAAACAAAGACAACUUGGGACAGAUGAGAUGAAAUCCGGAAAAAAAUGAGAGAUUGAUCUUGCAAAUAAUUGGAAAAGAUAGAAGUAUCUUGAAGAGAAGCACUCCAGUUGAAAGGGGUUGACAUCACGACUCCGGUUGAAAAGGAAUUGAUAAGACAACUUGAUUGAGAAAAAGAAUCAGCAUUCCCAUAGAAAUAUGAGAACACCUCCUAGAAAGAUAUGAAUUCACCACUUGACAUCGAAGCAACAUGAAUUAACAUAUUCCAACAAAACAAAGGAUGAGGCUUGCGAAACAAGCCGGAACAAAUACAUGACAGAGAUUUCGUCUGAUAUUUUCGUGGAUAGGAUCGCACAUGCUCUAUCCUACAGUAGCCAUCAUGGACAUGGCAAUGCAUACGACAUACGUAGCAUCCCCGAGUCGUAGCAAGGUACAAGGACUCUUUAAGACACAACGAGAGCUACUAUAAGACGACCGUGAACAAACGAAUCCACUAGAUGUCGAACCCGAACCUCACAUCGUGCAUCUGUUGGAAGAUUGUUCUAUAAGUAACUACUUGAAUUAACACCUAAGAACUUUCAAACUUUUCUGGUCAUGCAAUCGGGUCCACGGAUACAAGGAGUAAAAUCUAUCACUCAACUCCUAGCAAUAACACUACCCGUCCAGUGUAUCCCAUCCGUUAACACAUAGCCAGAGACUUCGAAAACUCAUCUAUCACAGAUCCUCGUAAUCACAAUGAUACAAAGUAUGGCGAUACAUCCGGGCCUAUCUGCACCAAUACUGAGGAAACUAGACUCCUCUCGCCACUACUAGUAUUGAAGGAAUUUCGAACAUCCUCCGUCCUGAGAUACUAAGAAAUCUGAAUAAUAACGAUCUGCUCAAGAAUCCCCUGUAGCUCAACUCCCCGGAAUUAAAUCAACACAGCAGGAGGCACCAAGUCAGAACUCCGUCACAUCAACAUCAUAUAGAUUCCAAAAAUAUACGCAUGAUCCUAAAAAAAUUCGAGUGAGAAGAGGAGUAGAAUUAAAAUUUCCUAAGUCGUGAACCUCACCAGAGCAUAAACGAGGAGAAAAAAGAAACCUACUCUCCGAUAUAACAAAGACUCAAAAUAGUUUUUCACUAGACUCGACUCGGCCAAGUUCGAUGAAUCAAGGGGGCUCCUAGAUCGGUACAGCUCUGAUACCAACUUCUAAUGCCCAAGACACGGUCUUAUCCUUAUUUUGGCGUGAGGUCCUCGACAGGGAUAGAAAUGCAUUUCAGCGUUUCGCAAGAAUGGAUAUCGUUACAAGUACUUGUACUGAAAAGAUGAGUAUAAGGAGUUGGCUUACACUCGCCAAAAGCUACAUGACAGUCACAUCAAUACAACCAUAUACAAUCAUCACGAAGAAGAGCAGGGUCCAACUACGGACGAAAACAAACGAUAAAAUAACGAUGUCCGUCCUUGCUAUCCCAGAUUGCUGGCCUCGAACCCAUCCUAGAUCGAUGAAGAAGAAGAAAAAGCAACUCCAAAUAGCACAAUCAUCGCGCUCACGUCAUAAUAUCACUUUACAUGUACCUGCAACUAGUGUUGUACUAAUCUGUGAGCCACAGGGGACUCAGCAAUCUCAUUUCCAAAGGUAUCAAGACUAGCAAUGCUUAAUGGCUGAGGUAUGGUUAAGUGGUGAGGCUGCGGCAAGCGACUAAGCAUUUAUUUAUGGUGGCUAAUUUAUGAGUACAAGAAUAAAAGAGGGGGAUGAUCUACGCAUAGCAGACGUGAACUACUGAUAAUCUAAUGAUUGAUCUUGAACACCUACUUACGUCAUACAUAACCCCACCAUGUUCUCGAUUAGAGAAGGAGCUCACGAAAGAGACAGUCACGAUUACACACUCAGUUGGCAUAUCUUAAUUAAGCUUACUUCGAGUUAUGUAAAACCGGAUGUUAAACAAAGUUUCCAAGUUGUCACAUAACCGCGGCACGGAUUUCCGAAAGAUUUAACCCUCCAGGGGUGCUCCAACCACUCCAUCACAAAUUACUACAAGCCGCAUAUAAAUCCUCGAUCACAAAACUCGUGAUCUUUCGGACUCCUUAGUGGAAAACCUCAACUCUGAGAUUACCCGAAGUUUCACUGGAAUCCCGAUGCACAAGAUAUUUCGUAAAAGGUAAAAUUAAUCUAGCAAGGCCGCCUGGCGUGCCGACGGUCCCGAUAUGAGCCGCGUAUCCCGUUUUCAGGGCACGACCGGAUGGGCAAGACGUCGGGUUGGAUAAAACCAAAUGACCAGGGGCACCGGGCAUCGCCCGGUUUGGACCAACACUCAUGCGGAGCACUGGCCCGGGGGUUUAUUAAUUAUCCACGGGAUCCAGAAAUACCUUGUGCAAUUUUAUUAGGUUAUUAGGAAAAUGUUGUACCAAAGUUGGGCCUUCCCAGACCAGUUUUAAUCAAAACGAGUUAUCAAGGGGGUCCCCAUAACAACUCCGAUCGUGUUAGGAGCGCUCAAAUAUGGAAUAUAACAUCGGUAGCCAAAACUAAGGCAACAAAGGUGAAAGAAAACACCACGCUAGAAAGGCCGAGCCUUUCACCUUUUACCAAAUUUAUAGGUGCAUUAAAUUAAAUAGCAUUUAAUAGUUUGACAUAACAAAGAACACAUAUUAUCACAUGAAAGAAACUGCACCUACAACUAGCUAUGCUAACACAUGGGUAAGCAAGCGGUAACAUAGCCAAUUAGUGGUUUGCUAGGUUGUGAACAGUUUGAAGGUUUUCAUGGCAAUGUUCAGAGCCUGACAUUUAACAGGUGGUACACAACAAGACAUAGCGAAAGAAACGAAACAACUAGCAUGGCAUUGAUAGUAAUGAUAUCUAGGAAAAUGAUCAUUUUUCCUGAGAUCCUUUUUGAAAGAAGAAGGAGUCCAUUAAGCAAACGAUCUGACGUAGUAAAACGGGUCCUCACAUUCCGACACGCUUGCGGAUCUCUAUCGAGACGAAUCAAACCGGAAACAAGCAUCAACACUUGAUGUUCACCACACACAUGCACGAUAUGAUGCACACCCUAAUAUCAUGCAUGUUCAUUCCAAUCAUGCAAGGCAUGGCACGGCAAUUCACACAAUCAAACGCUAGACAUUAAAUGAAGCUCAAUAUGUAACGAGUUGCAUAUUGACGGAACUCCACAUUUAAUUAUUUAGUUCACUCCCAUUUAUUUACACGGCAAUAUUAAAUGUUGUUAAACAUGGCAAGGGGUGAAACACAAAUUAAAGUACCUAUCUAGGCAUUUUAAAUGAGGCCGAAAAUGACAUAUAGCAUCUCCAAACCGAUCUCACGCAUCACUUUGUAAUCUGCCUGGAUCUUACCUAAAUAUAUUUAUGUUUGUUAAACGACAAAACAAAGUGGUUCACACAAAACUACACGUCAUUCUAGUUGGUUUACAUAUAAAGUUCAUCCCCAAUGGAGCUACGGUCUAAAAAAUACAAGCAACACGAGAUCAUAUGUCAUGGAUGCAACAUGUGUGGAAAAUUAAAGCAAACAGAGAAAAUAUUAUGGUGCUGGAAAUUGAGCCAAGGACCUCAUCGAUGGAUGCAGUGGCUUUGUUAACCAGCUGGGCUGAUGCAUUGCAUGUGCUACAAACGGGACGGAUUUAAAUAAACGUGCUUCUCAAACUAACCUUGACCAAAACAAAAGUGAAGGACAAGAACAAAUAAAAGGAAAAUCUUUGUAGUGAUCCUUUAAAAACUCUACACGCCAAAACUGAUCCAGGAAAAGAAACAAAGUUUAGAUAGGAGUCUUACAGCGGGGAAACAACAGCCGACGACCAUGGCCUGUUAGGAACGGGCGAGGGAGAUCGGGGCCCUCCGGAAGUGGUGGAUCGGGACGAACACUUGGCAGGUUGAGGUCGACUGAUGGGCUGGGCUUGGCACCGCCAGCGCGGUCAACAACCGAGCGAGCUGUUGCUGCCCGUUACCUGAUGAACAAAAGCAACGUCAGGAGUCUGACGAAGCAGAGGACACGACACGGGAGGUCGUAGCGACGGGGUCGGCUGGAACCGGCCGGACCCGUGGCCACGUCAGCGGUGGAGCUCUGCUCUGAGGUGGGCUGUGGAAGAUCGUGGCACAACGAGGCGGGAGAACAAAUGAAGCUCCGACCAUGGCUCCUACAACAGACAGCUACGAGAGAUGAGGGAGAGAUGAGAGAAAUAGAGAGGGAGGAGGAGAACGACAUGGCGGGGAACUGACCAGCGUGAGAGCGACCUAGGCGUGGUGCUCAGGCAAGCGGGAUGCGGCGAGGCCCUAUUCGGCAUGGCUCAUGCGCACGGCGCCGGCGAUGCAGGGUCACGGCUCGAGGAAGUUCGCGUGACGUACUCGCCUGUGUUUGGGUUGCCAACCAUGAGGGCUGGCUUGGUGUCCCUAGCGAAGGGCGGCACGACGGCAAGCUAGUUGCUGGCUGCGUGGAUGGUGCGGCUGCUCCUGGGAGGAGCUCCUGGUUGAGGCCGUUGCGCGGCUUGGGAAGCCUCCGUUCAUUGGAUUAGUCCACGGAGGUCGGUGGUUGGCUUCAGAGCUAAUUGCUGCUGGUUGGAUGCGGCGCAAAACGAGGAGAAGUGUGCUCGCGCAUUUGUUUGGGAGGAUGAGAUUCCGAGGAAGGAGGAGGUGGGUCGGGUGGCGGCUGCGAGGGGAUUUGUCGGAUGGGAU
This 14032-nucleotide long non-coding RNA is filed under the name Hordeum vulgare. RNAcentral describes it as "long non-coding RNA (HVUL_LNC004265)". Lineage: Eukaryota; Viridiplantae; Streptophyta; Magnoliopsida; Poales; Poaceae. The record is from RNAcentral.